GAGUGAAGCGGCAACAGCUCAAAUUUGAAAUCUGGCCCCCCCGCGGGCCCGAGUUGUACUUUGGAGAGGACGCUUCUGGCGCGGCGCCGUCCGAGUUCCCUGGAACGGGACGCCGGAGAGGGUGAGAGCCCCGUACGGGCGGCCGCCUAGCCUCUGCGAAGCUCCUUCGACGAGUCGAGUAGUUUGGGAAUGCUGCUCAAAAUGGGAGGUAAAUUUCUUCUAAAGCUAAAUACCGGCCAGAGACCGAUAGCGCACAAGUAGAGUGAUCGAAAGAUGAAAAGCACUUUGAAAAGAGGGUCAAACAGUACGUGAAAUUGUUGAAAGGGAAGCGCCUGUGGCCAGACUUGCGCCCCGCGGACCACCCGGCGCCUCGCGCGCCGGGGCACGCCAGCGGGGCGCAGGCCAGCAUCGGCUCUCUCGGGGGGACAAAGGCCGCGGGAACGUAGCGCCCUCGCGGCGUAUUAUAGCCCGCGGCGCCAUGCCCCCGGGGGGGCCGAGGACCGCGCUCCGGCAAGGAUGCUGGCGUAAUGGCCACCGGCGACCCGUCUUGAAACACGGACCAAGGAGUCAAGCAUUGGGGCGAGUGUCUGGGUGGCAAGCCCGCACGCGGAAUGAAAGUGAACGCAGGUGGGAGCUUCGGCGCACCACCGACCGAUCCUGAUGUCCUCGGAUGGAUUUGAGUAGGAGCCCCGCCGCUUGGACCCGAAAGAUGGUGAACUAUGCCUGUAUAGGGUGAAGCCAGAGGAAACUCUGGUGGAGGCCCGCAGCGGUUCUGACGUGCAAAUCGAUCGUC
Molecule: ribosomal RNA, 793 nt
Filed under: Harringtonia lauricola
Lineage: Eukaryota; Fungi; Ascomycota; Sordariomycetes; Ophiostomatales; Ophiostomataceae
Description: Raffaelea lauricola partial large subunit ribosomal RNA
Rfam family: Eukaryotic large subunit ribosomal RNA
Source: RNAcentral